RNAcentral lists this long non-coding RNA (337 nucleotides) under Capsella rubella. RNAcentral describes it as "long non-coding RNA (CRUB_LNC003737)". The record is from RNAcentral. Lineage: Eukaryota; Viridiplantae; Streptophyta; Magnoliopsida; Brassicales; Brassicaceae.
CAAUGUGGUAGCGGAAGACAUGGAGUUUAAGACAUAGUUAGAUGAAGCUUCGGAUGAAAUGGCUAUUGUUUUUAGCAUGCUUUAAAAGGCUUGUUUUGUAAGGCUCUUAUUAGAUGUUUGAGCCGGGGUGUGAAGCAAAGAGGAAAACAAAACUACAAAAAAAAAUGUCUUUUCCUCAUAGGUCUAAGAGCACCUUUAGUGGGAAGUGUUUACAUGAAUCUCAUAGUAUUAAAAAAAUAAAAAUAAUAAAAAUGGAAGAGAGAGAGUGAAGAGGGGUGCUCAAAAAAGAGACUUUGGAACCCAUUUAAGUAUCUCAUCAAACACAAGUCUCAUUUUU